RNAcentral lists this microRNA precursor (135 nucleotides) under Nicotiana sylvestris (wood tobacco). Its description in RNAcentral is "MIR394 microRNA precursor family". It matches the Rfam family "MIR394 microRNA precursor family". Lineage: Eukaryota; Viridiplantae; Streptophyta; Magnoliopsida; Solanales; Solanaceae. The record is from Rfam by way of RNAcentral. RNAcentral also lists the same sequence under 1 other name.
CUUACAGAGUUCUUUGGCAUUCUGUCCACCUCCCUCUUCUUUAGAAAUGAAGAUGACCAAGAAAAUGAAAAGGACAAAAAAAAAGGAGGUUUAAUUAACGUGGAGGUGGGCAUACUGCCAAUAGAGCUGUGUUGA